UGCCAGCAGCCGCGGUAAGACAGAGGGUGCAAGCGUUAAUCGGAAUUACUGGGCGUAAAGCGCACGUAGGCGGCUAAGCCAGUCAAAUGUGAAAGCCCCGGGCUCAACCUGGGAAGGCCAUUUGAUACUGCUUAGCUAGAGAAUGGUAGAGGUAAGUGGAAUUUCCGGUGUAGCGGUGAAAUGCGUAGAUAUCCGGAGGAACAUCAGUGGCGAAGGCGACUUGCUGGUCUAAUACUGACGCUGAGGUGCGAAAGCGUGGGGAGCAAACGGGAUUAGAUA
Molecule: ribosomal RNA, 279 nt
Filed under: uncultured bacterium
Lineage: Bacteria
Description: partial 16S ribosomal RNA
Rfam family: Bacterial small subunit ribosomal RNA
Source: RNAcentral